RNAcentral lists this ribosomal RNA (700 nucleotides) under Streptomyces graminearus. RNAcentral's name for it is "bacterial SSU rRNA". It matches the Rfam family "Bacterial small subunit ribosomal RNA", at positions 37 to 754 of the family's 1533-position model. Lineage: Bacteria; Bacillati; Actinomycetota; Actinomycetes; Kitasatosporales; Streptomycetaceae. The record is from RNAcentral.
GGGCGGGGGGCUUACACAUGCAGUCGACGAUGAACCACCUUCGGGUGGGGAUUAGUGGCGAACGGGUGAGUAACACGUGGGCAAUCUGCCCUUCACUCUGGGACAAGCCCUGGAAACGGGGUCUAAUACCGGAUACUGACCUGCCAAGGCAUCUUGGCGGGUCGAAAGCUCCGGCGGUGAAGGAUGAGCCCGCGGCCUAUCAGCUUGUUGGUGAGGUAAUGGCUCACCAAGGCGACGACGGGUAGCCGGCCUGAGAGGGCGACCGGCCACACUGGGACUGAGACACGGCCCAGACUCCUACGGGAGGCAGCAGUGGGGAAUAUUGCACAAUGGGCGAAAGCCUGAUGCAGCGACGCCGCGUGAGGGAUGACGGCCUUCGGGUUGUAAACCUCUUUCAGCAGGGAAGAAGCGAAAGUGACGGUACCUGCAGAAGAAGCGCCGGCUAACUACGUGCCAGCAGCCGCGGUAAUACGUAGGGCGCAAGCGUUGUCCGGAAUUAUUGGGCGUAAAGAGCUCGUAGGCGGCUUGUCACGUCGGUUGUGAAAGCCCGGGGCUUAACCCCGGGUCUGCAGUCGAUACGGGCAGGCUAGAGUUCGGUAGGGGAGAUCGGAAUUCCUGGUGUAGCGGUGAAAUGCGCAGAUAUCAGGAGGAACACCGGUGGCGAAGGCGGAUCUCUGGGCCGAUACUGACGCUGAGGAGC